GACGAACGCUGGCGGCGUGCCUAAUACAUGCAAGUAGAACGCACAGUUUAUACCGUAGCUUGCUACACCAUAGACUGUGAGUUGCGAACGGGUGAGUAACGCGUAGGUAACCUGCCUGGUAGCGGGGGAUAACUAUUGGAAACGAUAGCUAAUACCGCAUAAUAUUAAUUAUUGCAUGAUAAUUAAUUUAAAGGUGCAAUUGCACCACUACCAGAUGGACCUGCGUUGUAUUAGCUAGUAGGUGAGGUAACGGCUCACCUAGGCGACGAUACAUAGCCGACCUGAGAGGGUGAUCGGCCACCCUGGGACUGAGACACGGCCCAGACUCCUACGGGAGGCAGCAGUAGGGAAUCUUCGGCAAUGGACGAAAGUCUGACCGAGCAACGCCGCGUGAGUGAAGAAGGUUUUCGGAUCGUAAAGCUCUGUUGUAAGAGAAGAACGGGUGUGAGAGUGGAAAGUUCACACUGUGACGGUAUCUUACCAGAAAGGGACGGCUAACUACGUG
RNAcentral lists this ribosomal RNA (505 nucleotides) under uncultured bacterium. RNAcentral describes it as "partial 16S ribosomal RNA". It matches the Rfam family "Bacterial small subunit ribosomal RNA", at positions 28 to 507 of the family's 1533-position model. The record is from RNAcentral.